This 999-nucleotide long non-coding RNA is filed under the name Mus caroli (Ryukyu mouse). Its description in RNAcentral is "lncRNA (MGP_CAROLIEiJ_G0003641.1)". Lineage: Eukaryota; Metazoa; Chordata; Mammalia; Rodentia; Muridae. The record is from RNAcentral.
GACAGAGAGGAAGCCAGAGAGCGGGGAGGCUGGCUUCAUCCUUUCCAGGAUGCCUAGGAAGAACCAAUCAAUACCUGGGAGAUGAUACAUCUCCUUUCCACGUUACACGGGUACUAAAAUUUCAUUCCAGAAACUUCGGGGGGGUGGGCAGCAGACACCUUCCAAAGCACAGUCUACAGGACAACUCCUGUACCUUCUUAAGCCUAGGACACCAUUAGGAUAUGUUUGAACCUGACUUUGGAUAUACUAAAACAUGUGGCAAUAUGUUAAAUACAGGAAACUGCACCUGUUCAUGUAUGGUGAUACCACGGAGGGCCAGACUGCUGCAAUGCCCGAGGUGUGCCAUCUCCACAGAGAACCCAUCUUCACUCCCUUUAGGCAAUUCCCUCCCACCAGAGGCAGGAAGCAAACUACAACACCACGCUGAAGCAGCAAACAUAACCAUGUGAGCUAUCACACACCAGCUCCUUCCUUAUUUCUGAUCACCCUGGACUCAGUUAGCCCAGCUUCCCACAGCAAGACUGUGUCUAGACUGUGGGGACAACAGGCUGGGAGCCAGGAAUGGACCUCAAGCCUACGAGAGCGUCCAAGCUGCUUUACUAAUGCCUUUGAACCUUCUGAUGAUUGGAACAGAGUUGAAAUUUAUUAGAAAAUAGAAAAACAGCUUUGGUACAACACUACCAGUCAUCAUGUACGUCCCUGAAUAACAAUGUUCAUCUCUAGGUCAUGCCUCCAGAUGUGUAAUUGAAGAUACUAACUGGAUGAAUGAACAAUUUAAAGUUCCAGGGGAACAAAGCGCUGUUCUGGAUGAUUCCAAGCCAGCACCACUCCCUCUUCCAGUUCAGCUUCACAGCUACCCAGAGGUGAAGGGUGGGCACACAGCGAACUUUGAGAAACGCACAUAAUAUGAAUCUCAAGGAAAGAGAAAAGCCACGAAAUCUAUACUAAGCGGAAUCCCCAUGUUAAGAUUCACCAAGAAAAGCCUUUCAGAGUCUGUGG